RNAcentral lists this transfer RNA (72 nucleotides) under Homo sapiens (human). RNAcentral describes it as "tRNA-Cys (anticodon GCA) 3-1 (TRC-GCA3-1)". It matches the Rfam family "tRNA". From Rfam's summary of the family: Transfer RNA (tRNA) molecules are approximately 80 nucleotides in length. Their secondary structure includes four short double-helical elements and three loops (D, anti-codon, and T loops). Lineage: Eukaryota; Metazoa; Chordata; Mammalia; Primates; Hominidae. The record is from Rfam by way of RNAcentral.
GGGGGUAUAGCUCAGGGGUAGAGCACUUGACUGCAGAUCAAGAGGUCCCUGGUUCAAAUCCAGGUGCCCCCU